CAGCAGCCGCGGGAAUACGUAGGUGGCAAGCGUUGUCCGGAAUUAUUGGGCGUAAAGCGCGCGCAGGCGGAUCAGUUAGUCUGUCUUAAAAGUUCGGGGCUUAACCCCGUGAUGGGAUGGAAACUGCUGAUCUAGAGUAUCGGAGAGGAAAGUGGAAUUCCUAGUGUAGCGGUGAAAUGCGUAGAUAUUAGGAAGAACACCAGUGGCGAAGGCGACUUUCUGGACGAAAACUGACGCUGAGGCGCGAAAGCCAGGGGAGCGAGCGGGAUUAGAUACCCCCGUAGUCCCUGUCUCUUAUACA
Molecule: ribosomal RNA, 301 nt
Filed under: uncultured bacterium
Lineage: Bacteria
Description: partial 16S ribosomal RNA
Rfam family: Bacterial small subunit ribosomal RNA
Source: RNAcentral